UUUCCUACGGGAGGCAGCAGUGGGGAAUAUUGCACAAUGGGCGAAAGCCUGAUGCAGCAACGCCGCGUGAAGGAAGACGGUUUUCGGAUUGUAAACUUCUAUCAAUAGGGAAGAAAGAAAUGACGGUACCUAAAUAAGAAGCCCCGGCUAACUACGUGCCAGCAGCUGCGGUAAUACGUAGGGGGCAAGCGUUAUCCGGAUUUACUGGGUGUAAAGGGAGCGUAGACGGCGUGCCAAGUCUGAUGUGAAAGGCCGGGGCUCAACCCCGGGACUGCAUUGGAAACUGGCAUGCUGGAGUGCCGGAG
RNAcentral lists this ribosomal RNA (305 nucleotides) under uncultured bacterium. Its description in RNAcentral is "bacterial SSU rRNA". It matches the Rfam family "Bacterial small subunit ribosomal RNA", at positions 335 to 654 of the family's 1533-position model. The record is from RNAcentral.